CUCACACAGGAGACUGCCGGCACCAGUGCACACCACCACACUUUCUUUUGCGGUUGAUUCAUCUGAUUUUUGUUGGUUUGUUUUGUGAUGCAUCAAUUCAGACUGAGCUGAAGCCAUUGCCCACAACUCCUCUUGCCGUGGAGGCAACGACGAGCACCGAUGCCUUGCAAGGAUCCACUGGCUUCGACCUCUACCAGCUGCCGUGCACCUGGGAUCCGCACCCUCUGACCUCGCCGUGGGGUGCGCUCCUUCUCGGUUGAGACGGCAUGAAACAUUUGAUCUGUUGGUGGCUAGGUCCUGGCAGGAACGGUGGCAUGAAGCAGUUGAGUACGUGUGUGUGGUGAGCAGCUACUGAACUUAUUCAGGCACUACAAUAUAGUCCCACACAACCUCUCAACACCACUUCUUGAACCUGCUUGAACCUUCAUGGCCCAGGCCGUUCACUGCCUCCACACAAGGCCGUUCGAUGACGCAAAGCUCAAGCCGUUCACCCUUGCCACCACAAGCCGUUCACCUUCGCCACACGAGGUUGUGCGACAACGCAGCGAUCAGGCUGCUCGCCUCUAUCACUGCAAGCCGUUCACCUUUGCCACAGGUGGUCGACGCAGUGCUAAGGAUGUUGUGUUCUUUUUCAGUACAUGUUAUGUGUGCUUUUUAGUUCACCUACUUGGCGAUUCUAUGUCCAAUUUCCCCUCUAUUUAUGUGUUUUCCUAUAGCACAAGAGGUGUUCUGUGUUAUGCCUUAAUAAGCAAAUACUGUUUUGUUCUCAGUAUUCUGAUGUAGGCCAAAAUGGUGAACAUUUAAACAUCAGCCCAAAUUAAUAAAACUGAGAAGUUCUACUUUCA
Non-coding RNA from Aegilops tauschii subsp. strangulata, 845 nucleotides. NCBI's taxonomy places the organism in Eukaryota, Viridiplantae, Streptophyta, Magnoliopsida, Poales, Poaceae. The record is from RefSeq and is a predicted model, not a curated record.